RNAcentral lists this ribosomal RNA (210 nucleotides) under Triticum aestivum (bread wheat). RNAcentral describes it as "partial small subunit ribosomal RNA". Lineage: Eukaryota; Viridiplantae; Streptophyta; Magnoliopsida; Poales; Poaceae. The record is from RNAcentral.
AUGGGCAGUCCUCAACCCCGAAGUCGCGCCAUCAACUGGGCUGAUCUUCAGUUGCCAACAAUUCAACCUGAAGGUCUGGACGCCCCUUUCUCUGAAGGUGAGAUCUGGGCCGCGGUGCUGGCAUCACCGGCUGAAAAGGCUCCUGGGCCAGACGGUUUCAACGGACAGUUCUUCCACUCCUGCUGGGACAUCAUCAAAGAUGACAUGUGA